GUGCUCACUUCGGCAGCACGUACACUAAAAUUGUAACAAUACAGAGAUGAUUAGCACGGCCCCUGCAAGGAUGACGUGCAAAUUCGUGAAGCAUUCCAUAUUAAA
Small nuclear RNA from Pan paniscus (pygmy chimpanzee), 105 nucleotides. The record is from Ensembl. NCBI's taxonomy places the organism in Eukaryota, Metazoa, Chordata, Mammalia, Primates, Hominidae.